UGCCCUACUCUCACAUGGGGAAUCCCCACACUACCAUCGGCGUAACUGCGUUUCACUUCUGAGUUCGGUAUGGAGUCAGGUGGGACCACAGCACUAUUGUUGCCAAGAAAUUCUUUUAUUAAGUUAGUUCACUAAUUUAAUGAACUAAG
This 149-nucleotide ribosomal RNA is filed under the name Glaesserella parasuis SH0165. The record is from RNAcentral. Lineage: Bacteria; Pseudomonadati; Pseudomonadota; Gammaproteobacteria; Pasteurellales; Pasteurellaceae.